Molecule: non-coding RNA, 178 nt
Organism: Phoenix dactylifera (date palm)
Lineage: Eukaryota; Viridiplantae; Streptophyta; Magnoliopsida; Arecales; Arecaceae
Source: RefSeq, a predicted model, not a curated record
GUGAGACGAAAGCAGAAGAUUUUCAUAUGAAGAUGGGAACCCGCUGCUGUGCUGCUGCUGCCGUCCACCACUCCAUGAAAGGAAUCGAAGAGGAAGUUUGGAACAAUCAGAAAGGGAACGGCUGAAAAAGAAAUACUGUAAAGGUUAAGUCACGCUUAAUUAGGUAAAGCCUAAACUA